UUAAGGAUGCACAUGUCCGCCUUUUCCAGGGACAUCAUCUUGGUCUUGAUCUCUAGAGAUGUAUAGCCCAUGUGCAGGCCCUCGUCGCUCAGCUCUCCUUCACUGCUGUAGGCCGGGUUUAUGAUGUUAGUCUUGACCCGCUCCAUCGGGGCUGGACGGAACAGGGCAGGAAUAGCGUGCGCCACCGUGUGCUGUUCCGCCAACCAUCUGCGGAGGAACAAGGACUUAGUUCCAAGAAGGGUCUUCAGCAUCUUUUCCACUGGCCUUACUUGUCUAGGGCCAGUAGCAUCUUGGAGGUGGUGGAGCAGAAGGGAACCUCCGAAAGCAGAAUCUUCACCGGCAGACGGUGAAACACAAGAGGAGAAUAUGAGACAGGGUUUCUGCUGUGAAUGCUGUGAAUGCUUUAUCAUGCGUUGAUGGCUUCCUGUGUGUUUACUCCUGUCAUUUGGUUUUGCUGUGUGGUUUUAAUGUAGGCGUUGCUGUGCUUGCAGAUGUACUUCACCAGUUCGCCGUGCAUGAGUGCACAUAGUUCUCUUUUACCUCAUAGGCUUUUGCUCUGUACUCUUUGGAGCUCAGGCUGACUUGACUCUUGGGGCGAAUGACAGCGACAAACACCUCAUCGAAGAUGUCCUCAUUGCCCAUGGUGAAGGCUUUCCCUCAGUCUCGACCACACCUCCAGGCAAAGGGCCAUAUGCUGUGGAGAGGCAUAUCUGCAGCCUGAAAUACGAGGACAGGAUUCUGUUUCAGUUAAAGAACAGGAGUGGUCCAUACCGCAGAGUUGGGGACCUGAGUGAGGUCAAGAGGACCUUCAUGAGCUGAGGUCUCCUCAGAUGAACAAGGUCAGAAGGAGAGACAGACUCUCUUCCCUGCAUCACAUCUGGACAGCGAGGAAGAAGCUCCAUCACCACAAAAGACGAAAAAGUGGAUUUGCUGAUUUUGACUUUGCAGCUGCUUGAGAAAUAAAAC
This is a long non-coding RNA of Synchiropus splendidus (mandarinfish), 966 nucleotides long. RefSeq lists it as uncharacterized. Lineage: Eukaryota; Metazoa; Chordata; Actinopteri; Syngnathiformes; Callionymidae. The record is from RefSeq and is a predicted model, not a curated record. The transcript is spliced from 4 exons.